Molecule: ribosomal RNA, 305 nt
Filed under: uncultured bacterium
Lineage: Bacteria
Description: partial 16S ribosomal RNA
Rfam family: Bacterial small subunit ribosomal RNA
Source: RNAcentral
ACCUACGGGGGGCAGCAGUGGGGAAUAUUGCACAAUGGGGGAAACCCUGAUGCAGCGACGCCGCGUGAGUGAAGAAGUAUUUCGGUAUGUAAAGCUCUAUCAGCAGGGAAGAAAAAAGACGGUACCUGACUAAGAAGCCCCGGCUAACUACGUGCCAGCAGCCGCGGUAAUACGUAGGGGGCGAGCGUUAUCCGGAUUCACUGGGUGUAAAGGGAGCGUAGACGGCCGUGCAAGCCAGGAGUGAAAGCCCGGGGCCCAACCCCGGGACUGCUCUUGGAACUGUGCGGCUAGAGUGCGGGAGGGGG